RNAcentral lists this small RNA (124 nucleotides) under Marmota monax (woodchuck). Lineage: Eukaryota; Metazoa; Chordata; Mammalia; Rodentia; Sciuridae. The record is from RNAcentral.
GCCAGGCGUGGUGGCGCAGGCCUGUACUCUCAGCAACUCGGGAGGCUGAGACAGGAGGAUCUCAAGUUCAAAGCCAGCUUCAGCAAAGGUUAGGUGCUAAGCAACUCAGUGAGACCUGUCUCUA